UACAUGUGGGGCAAGCGUUGUUCGGAAUUACUGGGCAUAAAGGGUGCGUAGGCGGCUUGUUAAGUCAGGGGUGAAAGUUUUCGGCCCAACCGGAAAAUUGCUUUUGAUACUGGCGAGCUGGAGUGCGUGAGGGGUGACCGGAACGAGUGGUGGUAGCGGUGAAAUGCGUAGAUAUCACUCGGAAGGCCAACGGCGAAGGCAGGUCACUGGUGCGCAACUGGACGCUGAAGCGCGAAAGCUAGGGGAGCAAACGGG
Molecule: ribosomal RNA, 255 nt
Filed under: uncultured bacterium
Lineage: Bacteria
Description: partial 16S ribosomal RNA
Rfam family: Bacterial small subunit ribosomal RNA
Source: RNAcentral